This 706-nucleotide unclassified non-coding RNA is filed under the name Hevea brasiliensis (rubber tree). The record is from RNAcentral. Lineage: Eukaryota; Viridiplantae; Streptophyta; Magnoliopsida; Malpighiales; Euphorbiaceae.
GGCGACUUUGUAUAAAAUCCUCCUUUUUUCAUGGUACAGAGUUUCCUCUUGUUUAGACCCUAUCAUAAGUAUCUGUUGUAACUGACUUUAAGAAAUGACUAUCAUGAAUCGCGCUUUGUGUAUCAGGGCCUAACUGUUUGACAGAAACUGAGACUGAAUGAAGUCUAAGGUGGACCUUGACCAAAUUUCGUUCUCAUCAAAUUUUCUUCUCAAAGAUUCAAACUGAGAAUAUGGCACAUAGUUGGGUACCUUUUCAUACCCUGGCGAGAUAAGAUAAAUAAAACAAUAGGAAAUUGUGCCCAACUAUUGGGUGAACCUGGCAGUUCUAUUUGAGGGUUGUUUGAUGAGAUUUGAACUAAAAGUAGAUUAUUGACUGGUAUUAUUUCCCUUUUUGUCCGGAAGACAUUAUUCCCUGAACAUGUUACUUUUAUUGCAAAUUGUAUGCCUGCUUAUCAUUAGUCCUCUCUGUACCUCGUUGUUAAUUUUUUUGCUUGGCUUUUCUGGUGCCAUUGCCCAAUGCCCACUACCGGUCAGUGUUCAAGGUGCUCUAUAUAUGCAAUAGUUUUUUCAUUUGUACAUCUUGCUACUCCAGGCAUCGGACAAGGUCAAGUCUUCCUCUUUCUAUAACAUUAGGGAUUGGAGAUAGAUUAUAUUGCACAUUUGAACAAGGGAUGGACUCAACUAUCUUGCUGACUGAUUCUGUUGG